UACAGAGGUCUCAAGCGUUGUUCGGAUUCAUUGGGCGUAAAGGGUGCGUAGGUGGCAUGGUAAGUCGGAUGUGAAAUCCCGGGGCUCAACCCCGGAACUGCAUUCGAUACUGCUGCGCUAGAGUACUGGAGAGGAGAUUGGAAUUUACGGUGUAGCAGUGAAAUGCGUAGAUAUCGUAAGGAAGACCAGUGGCGAAGGCGGAUCUCUGGACCAUAACUGACACUCAGGGACGAAAGCUAGGGGAGCGAAUGGG
RNAcentral lists this ribosomal RNA (253 nucleotides) under uncultured bacterium. RNAcentral describes it as "partial 16S ribosomal RNA". It matches the Rfam family "Bacterial small subunit ribosomal RNA", at positions 524 to 776 of the family's 1533-position model. The record is from RNAcentral.